This 253-nucleotide ribosomal RNA is filed under the name uncultured bacterium. RNAcentral describes it as "partial 16S ribosomal RNA". It matches the Rfam family "Bacterial small subunit ribosomal RNA", at positions 524 to 776 of the family's 1533-position model. The record is from RNAcentral.
AACGUAGGACGCAAGCGUUAUCCGGAGUUACUGGGCGUAAAGCGCGGGCAGGCGGUCGAUUAAGUCUGAUGUGAAAUCUCCCGGCUCAACCGGGAGCAGCCAUUGGAAACUAGCCGACUGGAGUCUGACAGAGGUAGGCGGAAUUCCGGGUGGAGUGGUGAAAUGCGUAGAGAUCCGGCGGAACACCAGAGGCGAAGGCGGCCUACUGGGUCAGUACUGACGCUGAGCCGCGAAAGCCAGGGGAGCGAACGGG